GAGGAGGAGGUGGCACCGUCAGCGCUGGGAUGGCGAGAGAGGAGGACACUGCCAGUCAUCCCCAGAACAGAGGAAUGUAUCAUUCUGAUGGCAAUUUUUGGAAGAUUUCGCAGCAUUCCUGGAUGAACAGAGUGAGAGACAGACUGCAAGACAGCUCCGUAGUUAGGACACUGACCUGGGAUGUAGAUGACCAAGGCCUGAUGAAGAUUAGAGAGAAGGGGUGAAAGAUCAGUGAUCAUGGAUAACUGGGGACCCAAACCUCCAAAUCACUGAAUACU
Molecule: long non-coding RNA, 278 nt
Organism: Haliaeetus leucocephalus (bald eagle)
Lineage: Eukaryota; Metazoa; Chordata; Aves; Accipitriformes; Accipitridae
Exons: 3
Source: RefSeq, a predicted model, not a curated record